Molecule: small RNA, 374 nt
Filed under: Oryza sativa Japonica Group (Japanese rice)
Lineage: Eukaryota; Viridiplantae; Streptophyta; Magnoliopsida; Poales; Poaceae
Description: sRNA Os02g0215801
Source: RNAcentral
GUAGUGGCAAACGUAGUGGCUUUGAGACUCUCUCUGCCUUGCGAAUUGUGAUCCUUGGCUUGUACUGCAUCGUCGUCAAACAUUUUCAGCUGCAACCUGACGAAGAGAUUGUCGAUUUGUUCCUGCAGAUUCUGUUGAGACUAGCGGUCAAUGGUUUGCAAAGUUGCCGAAAUAUAAUAACAGGCUAUAAGCCAGCUAUGAACACGUGUAAAGGAGGUAAGAGAGGAGAGAGAAGGAAAACGAUGUGUAAUAUAUAUUAUGUGUAUAAGAGGUAGAAUCAUGUAUUAAUGGUGUAAUAUAUAUUUAUAGUUAACUAUUGUAUCAAUUAGCUAUUAGAUUAGCUAUAUAUGAAUAUAUGAUUUGAAGCUAAUAGU